RNAcentral lists this ribosomal RNA (460 nucleotides) under uncultured bacterium. RNAcentral describes it as "partial 16S ribosomal RNA". It matches the Rfam family "Bacterial small subunit ribosomal RNA", at positions 338 to 795 of the family's 1533-position model. The record is from RNAcentral.
UCUACGGGAGGCUGCAGUGAGGAAUAUUGGUCAAUGGGCGCGAGCCUGAACCAGCCAAGUAGCGUGAAGGAUGACUGCCCUACGGGUUGUAAACUUCUUUUAUAAAGGAAUAAAGUGAGACACGUGUGCCUUUUUGUAUGUACUUUAUGAAUAAGGAUCGGCUAACUCCGUGCCAGCAGCCGCGGUAAUACGGAGGAUCCGAGCGUUAUCCGGAUUUAUUGGGUUUAACGGGAGCGUAGGUGGGUUGUUAAGUCAGUUGUGAAAGUUUGCGGCUCAACCGUGAAAUUGCCAUUGAUACUGGCAGACUUGAGUACAGUUGAGGUAGGCGGAAUUCAUGGUGUAGCGGUGAAAUGCUUAGAUAUCACGAAGAACUCCGAUUGCGAAGGCAGCUUACUAAACUGCCACUGACAUUGAGGCUCGAAAGUGUGGGUAUCAAACAGGAUUAGAUACCCCUGUAGUC